RNAcentral lists this ribosomal RNA (117 nucleotides) under uncultured Methanospirillum sp. RNAcentral's name for it is "partial 16S ribosomal RNA". The record is from RNAcentral. Lineage: Archaea; Methanobacteriati; Methanobacteriota; Methanomicrobia; Methanomicrobiales; Methanospirillaceae.
AUAGCGGCACGCGAUAGGUGACCCGAGUGCCAGCACACGCUGGCUGUCCACCAUGUGUAAAUAACUGGUGAAGAAAGGGCCGGGCAAGACCGGUGCCAGCAGCCGCGGUAAUAAAUA